CCUCCACCCUCCCUCCCGCCAUGGGAGCGCUGCAUGCCGGGAGUGGCCUCUCGGAAGCGGAAAGGGAAAUGACCGGAAGUGAUGUCAGGACCCUGAGACGCGGUGGGUUUCGACUCGAGGUUGCGCUGUGGGAGAGUGGAAGUCGGUGUCCGGGCGCGUGGCCUUGGCGCAGAAAGCCGGCAUGAGGAACUGGAAGCCGGGGCCGCAUAAAGGGGUUCCUUGGUCUGUUCCUUUCUCACAUCAUCUGCUGAGGAUCAGCAGCGCCUACAAACACCACUUUCCAGCCUGAUCUAUCAAACUCCAACAUGUGAAGCUGUAUCAGCUCAGGUUGCUGAAGUUUCGUGCAUGUGCCUGCAGACCUAUGGAUUUUCAGUUUUGAACCUUUGAUAUCAAAGUUACAUCGACCCUCUGAGUGUUUCAGUAUCCCUGGCUAUCUCCAUUCACAUACACACUUUUAUGUAUAAACUUCCUGGUAACUGCAACCACAACACAAACGUAUACAAGUAUUUAUGAACCAAAACUUCUUAAAUGUCAUUUUUUACUUACUUUACUGCCAGUGAGUUGACUGAGAUGUGGUUUUAGUUCAUCACCAAUUACUGCAUGAAUGGCUACAAGGCAGAAAACACAUGCCUUACGAACACUGCUCUCCGAAUUAUCAUAACCCUAGAAAGCAAUAAAAUUAACAUUAAUUGCUUAUCAGUUAAUGAUUAAAAGCCUCAGAGAACUAUUCAGUACUACUUAUAAUAAAUACAUUAAAAUCUACUUUAAGUGAAUGCUAAGCAUUCCAAGAAAAAAAACCCCACAAAAACAAGCGAAUACAGAACAUGCACAUUUGAAAGGCAGGCUGUUAUUAAUUACCAUUUAUAAUUAUUUUUCAGACUGAAAUUAAAACCCAUACAAUUCCUGUUCGUAAUCUAUACUGGAAACAGAGCUGCUGUCAUGCUCCACAUGGAAAUACAGUAGGGGAGAUCACAGGAUAAAGUCUUCUAGAUUACAGAUAUUUAUUAAACAGAAAACCAUUGCAUUCAGAGCUUUCUUACUCCUAAAGAAGCUGUUUCUUAACAGGUAAAACUCUGUCAUUAACUCCCAUCUUGUUACUGAAUGAUUUUUGUUUCUCAUGCCUGGUUGUCUCACAUCCCUUUCUCAGAAGGCUCUGCCUCUUACCUUCUUGCAGAUGUGUGAUUUGACCUUAUGCAUUAAAGUCAGAAAUCUGCAGAAUGAAGCCAUCAAAUUCUGGGAAGUCUUUAUUCAGCACAUGCAAGCUGAUGUGUUUUGACUCUUUAUAUAGUGGCAGAUUAUUCAUUUUUAAAGACAGAGAAAGAAACUUUUUAUAACCUCCUAGUUUUAUUGAACUUUCCCAAUCAACUGCUUCCUUCCUCUUGCUUCCCCCAAGCCCCAAGUGAUAAAACCCUGCAACGGUACAAACAUUCAACGUGGAUGACUUCAGACCAAAUGGUCACAACUUGGAAAAGAUACUACAUAUAACUGAAAGAGUCUAUUAAACUUAACUACAGCCAAUACUUCAUAUCCUAGCCAGAUCCUGAGUCCUAACCACAGUUACAGUUUAGCCAGGUGACAAUGAAAGACACUGUGCUCACUAUCUGAAUUAGUCUGGGUCAAAGUAGCCAUCAGCUGUAAGACCAAUAAAAAUCCCUCAUGAGAGCCAAGCAAGAGUAUUUUGAAAAAAUCUUUGUAAUUCUUCCAUACAAAGAAGGUGGGUUUUUUUUGCUUUGUUUUUACCUGUAUUAAACCUGGCACAAUCUCUGGUAAAAGCUGAGUAAGAGUUUCUUUAGAUACUCUCUCUAUGACUUUUGUCUGCAUUUUGAUUGCAGCCAGAUUAAUUGGGUAAUCUGCAGUCUGGAUAAUUGGACAAAGGACUUUGAUGCACUGAUCUGGGCUAAUGGAAGUGGCCAGCAUGGAAGCAGCUUCUUCAGCAGAUCUCACCACCUAUCGAAAGAAUGAAAAACACAUGGAAAAAUUAUUUAGAAGACAAUUAGUGCCAGUACAAGUCUUGAGCAUAAGAAUUUCUUAACAGCUCCACAGCAUUGUAAAAAUAGGCAAAGGAUUUUUAAAUGUGUGCAAUUUUGCAACUGUUGGACUACUUACUGUACUAAAAACAAGGCUCUUCCCAACACCGUAUGACUGAACUAUACGUUCUGCAAGAUGUGCACUGGUGUCUUCCAAACCUGCCUGAAAAUACCUUCCAAACUUGACAAUAGCUGUCAAAUCAGAUCUGAAAUCUCUCUAGUCUGCAAUGCUAUGCAGAAUAUAAAUACAAUAUUAUACAACUACAUAUUGAAAUCUCUCCACUAUUGAAAGCCGUAAUUUCCUGUGUUGUCAUUCAUUACUGUCUUUGACCACUAAUAAGCUCCCAUGUUCAUCUCAAAGACUGUUUAAUGACAAUCAUAGAUUGCUACUUCUGGAGGCUUCUCCCAUCUUUAAUUUAAAAAAAAAAAUUCAGUUAAGAGUUCUUAAGACUCUUAGGGAAGAUACAGGAAAACAGUUAGUCAAAAGGUGCAGAAGCUCAGGAUACAACACAGACAUAAGAGGGAAAAUUCAUCUCUUCAUAUUUCUGCAUCUGUGGUGUCUGGCAGCUAAAAGACAAGCUGCUAGAUUAUGUACAAAAAACUCAGAAGUCUUUCUCUUCAACCUUGUCUUGUUUACUCUUUCUCACAUGCAUUAAAAAAAAAAAAAAGGAGAAAUGGAACAGUAAUAUGGAGGGACAAAUGGAAAGAAAAAAAAAAUAAACAUGGUGCAUGAAAUUAAGAGGGCGAAGGGGAAACAAAGAUGAGUAUCAGAUGAGUGACAAACAUCACUGGUAUGGAAAAAACUGCAGUCAAAGUUCUGAAUUUGGAACUCCACCCCAAGUCCCAUAUACAGAAAAAAGUCCUAUCAUAGGGAGUGUGGGAGCAAGGAAAGCAGGGAGAGAUUUAUGCAUCUCAUUAGACAUCUUAUUUUCAUAACAUCAGUGACACUGAUGUGAAGUGUUUAAUGUUUGGGUGGUUUCUGUAUUUGUGUUUCUUAUAUCAAAAUACAUCAUCCUUUGAUGUGUAUGCACAUUAUCUUAAGCUUUCUGAGCAAGAUUACACUUAUCCUACUUCUGAAUCUCCUCACAGUUCCCAGCCACAACCAACUCUUCCCUGCAGUAUCUUCUCUCCUGGAAACGAAGCCAUGCUCUCGAAUGGUGAAGAAGAAAAGCUUAACCAGAGCUGGUUAAAAAUGGGAAGGGAUUGUAAUUUCCUUGCCAUGUUCAAUCCUAUCUCUCAACUACCAACCUUACAGAAAUCCAAAGGGUUGCAUUAGAUAACUGGGCUAAAAAAGACAUAUAACAAAAAACUCCCUUCAGUUAUUCUUCAUAGAACUGUGCUGGCACAUCCUUGGCUUUGGUUUUACGUCCUCUUGGGCAGCACCCAAGGCAACUGUUACUAGGGCUGAUAUUAAGCAUUUCAGAGCUUACAAAACUGUAGUUCUUUGUUUUUCUUUUUUUUUUGCAUGCCUGUGUUAACAUCUUCAUUAUUACACAAACGAUUCAUCGGUAAGAUCUGAUCUCUCAAACACUUUCUGGACAUUACACAGCUGCUGCAUUCUGUGAUAUUUUGUCACAGUCUCAAACAAAGAAAACUGCUUACUAACCUCCUUAUGAGGAUCCUUAUGCGCUUCUAAUGUCUUCAUUAUUGUGAGCUCUGCGUAAUUCUUAAACCUUGCUGGCUGAUUCCUUAGGAUUUCUCUUAGAACUUUCAAUGCCAAAGCUCUAAUUGCAUGCUAGAGAUUAAAUAUUAAAACAAAUGAGUUAUGUAACAUUGAAUAGGCAAAUGUUUAAGUGUUUAUUCAACAGUUUAUAAAGUUUUGACAUAGUAAAACAUCAGUGCCUUUCUAUGCAUAUAUACAAUAUGAAACUAAUAUGGAAAUAAAUACAGCUAAAAAAAGUCUUCAAUUGUUUGCUCUUUUUGAAAUAAUUCAGGUGGUGCAUCAUAACCAUGCUGCUAAUUGGAACUAUCUAUGCUGAGCUGCAUAUAGUUUUACUCUUUGGAGUAUUUUAGCAUCACACAGUCACACAAAUACAUUAUCCUUGAAAACAGAUAUUUUAUUAUUAUCAAAUCAAAAGCAAUUAUUAGUGCCAAGUAAACCUGAAGGAUACUUGAGAAGAUGGCCUUUCACCAUUAAGAGAUUCAAGAGUUCACAUGAUGUUCCUGCAUUUCCAUAACUUCUUGUUUUUCAAGACUAGCUGGAAUUUGUGCUUUUCCUACAACCCACACAACUUUAAAAGCCACUGAAAGCAAACCAUGUGCAUUUUUAACUAGAUUAAUCUAACUUUACCUCUUUGUCUCCAAGUGUUUCAAGCAGCAAAAGCAGUAUUGUUUUGAAGUGCUCAUCCCAAACACCAAAAGACUCUUCUUGAGUUAACUUCAUGAGCUCAUACAGGGCAGCCUUUCUUUCCUCAACUCUCUCGUUAUGGUUUGAUAACUCUUUUAGUAACUCUGCAACUAGAUCAGAAUGAUCCAUGGGAGGCUCUAUCAAAAAA
Centrocercus urophasianus (Greater sage-grouse) is the source of this 4522-nucleotide long non-coding RNA. RefSeq lists it as uncharacterized. The record is from RefSeq and is a predicted model, not a curated record. Lineage: Eukaryota; Metazoa; Chordata; Aves; Galliformes; Phasianidae. The transcript has 3 exons.